GCCUGGUUAGCUCAAUCGGUAGAGCGUUUGACUCUUAUUUAAUUGCAUAGCAAUCAAAAGGCUGCGGGUUCGAGCCCCGCAUCGGGCU
This 88-nucleotide transfer RNA is filed under the name Pichia californica. Its description in RNAcentral is "Candida californica tRNA". It matches the Rfam family "tRNA". Rfam says of the family: Transfer RNA (tRNA) molecules are approximately 80 nucleotides in length. Their secondary structure includes four short double-helical elements and three loops (D, anti-codon, and T loops). Lineage: Eukaryota; Fungi; Ascomycota; Pichiomycetes; Pichiales; Pichiaceae. The record is from Rfam by way of RNAcentral.